GGGGAUGUGACUGAGUGGGACAGCAUCUGCUCUGCAUGCAGAAGAACACAGGUUUUCAAUUCCUGGACUCUCCA
Podarcis lilfordi (Lilford's wall lizard) is the source of this 74-nucleotide non-coding RNA. The record is from the annotation of a GenBank genome assembly. Lineage: Eukaryota; Metazoa; Chordata; Lepidosauria; Squamata; Lacertidae.